GCGCCUCGAGGCUCGGCGCGCACGAGCAGCCCUGUUUGUUUGUGUUGAGAGAUUGGAAAUGGCGGAGAGCAGAGACCAAAGCGAUAACUUAGGUUUGCGUUUGCGAGUGCGCCGUCAUUGAAACACUGAAACCACCCACAAGUGAUUAUCGGAGUUACGUACGGUUUGCAGCCGCCGAUGGGAUACGAGUCAGAUACGGAGAAGAGGGGUUUUCGGAAAAAAAGGUUUGGAUUUUAGCAAGCUGGUUAGCGAGCUAAGCUAACCGUGCUGGCGUUAGCUAGCUUGAAGUGGUGUGUGAUUUUAACUACGCAGGCUUGUUUGUCAACAGAAGCUGACGUUAAACCGCUAGCGAGCCAGCUAGCCUACAACUUUUGCCCGCUUCCCAAGCUAACCCACUCGGGUUUGAAACAUGUUUUCUUUAUGUGACUGUAAAAUCAUCUCCCGAAGUAAGAGUGGAUAAAAAGUCAAACAUCUGAGUAAGUUAAGCUGGUUAGCUAAGUUAGCUAACUGGCUUGUUUCACGCGCUGUCCAGGCUGCUGUUUGCAUGGGAGUUAAUCCUCCGGCGUGACACUUUCUGCAGGACAACCGAGGAGGGAUCUUAAUUCACAAGUUACACGGAGGACAAAUACAGGUAAGCGAAUGAGUAACUCCGCCGCAGAGUGCAUGACAACAUGUCAAACCGUGGUAAAACUGCAGCCGAGCAUAUGCUCAGGGCCUCCAAACACGCCUGACUCAUUGUUGAUUUUUCCACAUAACGUUGCUACAAUUCACCGACACCAUCUUCCCUGACUGAAUACAUAACGUGCAGUGGUGCUCGCUGGGACAUUUUGCUCCUUCGCCACCUGCAAAGAAAGACACCAGGCUGCUCUUACUUUCAUUAAUCCAACUGUGCAACAACUCAAACUGUGCACUACCGUUCAUUCAACAACAUGCUCGUUUCGUUUUAUUCAUGCAAUUCUGGCUUUUAGCGUGGAUCACAUUUACAAAUCCCGUUAUCAGUGUUUUAUCUUUUACUUGCUGCACAAAUCUGUAGCUGUUACAUAAUGCGAACUUGUAGUAUUUACUCAAAUUUUGAACUACAUCUCGUAUACUAUACGAGUUUUCCCACAGUAUUGGCUUGCACACGACCAGUCACAACAUUACUAACACUUGUGCAAUCUAAUGCAAUCCAAUACAACAGCUCUACCACAAGUUCCACUUUCAGGAAGCUUUAAAACUUUCAGUUUUUGCUGGCAUGAUCAGAAAUAUGACUAUUCUACUUUGAAUUUAUUGUUGCAGAUGCAAUAAUUGGUAUAUUGUAGUGUAUUAAUUAUAAAGAUGUACCAUAUACUUGUAUAUUUAUCAGUCAUUAAGAAAUGUGAGGAGCAAAUUGUCAGGAGCACCUUUUGAUACAAUGGACUUAAGUGCAACAGCAAUGCCUACUCCAACUUAGGAGUAGAACCGUUUUUUUAUCAACCUGAAAUUAGUCUUUAUCAAUAAAAUAAAUGGAUGCAUGUCCAGUUACUCAUGAUGACGGGAAAAUAGAGCAGAUGAAAUGUGCGGAUGCAUGCGUGUUCAAGGCCUUUUUAAUAUCUUAUAAACAUUUAAUACACAUCUGCCUCCAUACCUUCAUGCUUCAGGCAACUGCAGCCUCUCCAUUUCUGUGGGAGUAAAAAAAAAAAGAGAGGUAUUUAUGAUUCAGCUUAUGAGAGAAGCAGUCUGAUCGGCCUCUAGGUGUCGCUGUGAUUUGUUUGGACCUCCUACAAACCUUUGUCCUGAAUGCACAAACCUAAAGGGCAGUUUGACCUCUUGACAAAAAGCCUGUGGUCAUGUUAGGCUAACGCACACAUGCAGCUCCUGCGUGGGGGUAGAAAGAUGCAAAAAAGUAGUUUAGUAUUUGGUAUAUGUUGAAUAAGAUGUUAGCCUUUGAUUAGCGUUAAUUUAAUGUGGACUGAUUCACCUUAAUUGACCCCAGUUUCUAAAGUGAGUCAUUGUGGGCCUGGUGCUUUUUUGUCAUACCCUUGCAUUGAUUGGGACUCUAGAAAAUCUCAGAGCAAAUAUAAAUAGUAGAGAAAAUAAAUAGUAAAAUAUGUCUGCCCUAUCUAAUUACCCCCUCACCCCCCACCCCAUUUUCCGGCCAUCUAUUCAUGAGCUUAAUCGCUGCCAUGAUUAAAAUGUGAUUUUUGCCUGUUGAUUGUGUUAAUUUGGGGCUUUAUGAUCUGUCAGUAUGAACUCUAAACCAUAAACUUGAAAAACAUUUUUAAAAACAUCUGCACAGAAAGUGUCAUGAGGUACAAACAGCUGCCUUAAAAAUCUGUUUCUGGAGACUUUCAAACCCAUGCUGUACCAGCUGACACUUGUGUCUGUAUACCUUCAUUUUUAAGACAUGUUCCUCAGCUUGAUUAAUGCCUUUUUAAGUUAAUGCAACUUUUGCAUGAAAUAAUGUUAGAUCAGGCUUAUCAGGUUCAAAUUUGUAUAGUUAGUUAAAAGGUGCACAUGCAAAAUUAGUAAAACCAGUUGUUUCAAAAUAGACAUACAUGCUUCUGUCGUGGAGAGCAGCUGUGUUCAUGAUUUAUCAUUUGUGUUUUCAUCUGUUAUGUAUUAAUGAAUAGUCCUAAAGCAAGCAGGUUAAAAAUGUAAUAAAUACAUUUUAAACUUCUCAUAGAAAAUGAUCAUUUGUUGCCAUCCUCACAACACAAGUUACACCAGUGAGGUAUAGUGUAAUGGUCCUUUAUCAGCCUAUGGAGGCCCACAUGCCCGCCAAACUGAAAGGCUCGUUAGUACAAACGAUGAAUCAAAUAAUUUUCUUGAUAUGCUCUUUUACCUUUGGGCAGCAGCUGCUGCGUUUAUUACUUCGCUUUCAAUUUGUCAUUCAUACAUUUAACUUUUGGAGCUGUUAGUAUGACAGUUGUUGAGAUGCUUUAAUGAAUUCGCAAUUUUAAUAGAGUGAGCUCUGUGUCACCUGUGCCUCGUGGUGCUGUCUGUUUCUGAUGCUUCAAAAUGCUUCUAUAUAAUGUCAACAUGUUUAAUGUAGCUGUUGAUUCAUUUAAGUUGUAACUGAGCAAACACAACUGAUGCGUCACUUUAUCUGUCACACAUAUCAGCAGAUAUUUUCAUACCUGUCACAAUCAAUAAUCACCUUCUUAAGCUUUCAACCUGCUGAUACGAUAUCAUGCAUCCUCAAGACUAAGUCAAGUAUUUAUUGACUGUCAUGCAAACCUCCCAGUCAUUGGCUUCGAUUGACAGAAUGUUAAUGGCCUAUUUCAUUUGCUGCUUAGUGCAUCAUUAUCAAAAUAAUAACUGUUAGCUGUGGGUUUAAAAGGACAUUUGGGUAUGAGUUUUACUUUGACCUUUGUGUGCGAGAAAGCCUGCAGUUGUUUGGGUUAUCAGUUGUCCUGUUUGGGGAGAGUUUGGUCUAUAAACGGUUAAUUAUGUCUGAUAGGGAGGCUGAAUUGUUAAACAAAAGUUUAGAGUUGGUUUUCUAUUUUUACAAGUAGUGAAAAGAAAGUCUCAGGGCUGUUUGGACUUGUGAUGUUCAGUAAGGUCACAUUUUUGCAUCAAAGAUAUGACACACAGAAGAGAAAGUUCAGUUUGAUUCUGUCUUUUCUAUGUUGCAGGUGUUACAAUAUCCACAUACCGCUACUGUGCAACUUUAAAGAAAAAUAGUACAUAAUGUCUCUAAUGAGCAAUCCUAUAAUAUUGGGAUGCUGUGCAAAAUGAUGCUAAAGGCAUGGAUUGAUGGUUUGUGAAUGAUUUAAACCCUGUAUUUAAUUGCAAAUAGUGCAAAACCUGGUAUUGUUGUCAUGACGAUAUAAAGUUUGAUGCAAGGGACAACAGAACACGAUAAGAGUUUAGUUAUGUUUGAAGAUCAUCACCUUACCUCCCUACCAUUGUGGUAGCUCAACAGUUUUGCAUAAAGUCGCGAGGAAGUUGGGGGUUGCAUCAUCUGCAGGAGAAAUCUCUGUAGAAAAUCGAAAAGCAUGAAAAUCAGCAUUGGAUGGCCGUGAUCUAUGGGCCCACAGGCACUACUGCAUGAAAAACAGACAUGACUCUGAUCAUGGGUUUAAAAUCACUCCCACAAUCUCUAUCAUGCAAAGAGAGGACCAUAGUGUAUAGAAAAAUAAUGCAGAAACAACAGCCAUUUAUUUGGGUUGAGUCUAUCACAUAUGGUCUUUGCUCUAGUUUUAAUAAAAUAAAGCAGUCGAAUGAUUUGAAAACCAUCACAUUCUGUUUUUGUUGAUAUUUUACACAGCGCUCUAACUUUUUUGCAGUUAGGGUUGUAAAAGUUAGCUUCAUGUAGCCACUCAAAGUAACAAAACCCUGUCAUCCUAAUGAAAACUUGAUUCUCUUAAAUAAUUUGUUUAGCUAGUUAAUUGAAUUCUCCAAAUUGAAUUGACCACUUUGUUUCAUUGGAGCUCCAUGAUAGUGGGCAGGCUGUCUGUUUGUGUAGUACUGGAGUGUUGCAGACUUUGCCAUGCUCUGAGUAAAAACAUUGAAGCUGGGCCUCUCUGGGGUAAGAUGUGGCCCAGAUAAGACUCAGGAUAUAGAGUUCACUGUAGGCCUCUAUUAUUCAGUUCAAAGUUUGCCACUCUGCUGCCACAGUGACUGCCUGAGGACACGCUCACUGUAAACAACACAACAAAAACACUGGAGUAAGAUAGUAAAAGGAGGUAUUACCUCUUUUUUAACACUUCCUCACACUUGAACUGAAGGAGUCAGUGCUACUGUGCAACACAGUGUGAUGUUUUUUCAAGGAAGGAUGCCUUUUUCCUGAUAUCUUAGAUGUAAUUGUAGCAUGCAGACGAAAUGAAGACCCUUAACCUGAUCUUAUCAAUGCACAGCGACACACUUCAAUGCUACAGUUUUACUGGUGUGGAUGUGGAGGCAGAUGAAUGAGAGGGCUGUAGUAGUCUAUUCCCUCAUGAUCAUACAAUCUUGUGCAUUUUAUAUUUAUCCUAUCAAAAGCAACAGACAAGGCAUUUCCUUUAUUAGCUCUGCAAACACAAGCUGUGAAGCCCACCUAAGGAUGAGCCACAUUCAAAGCAAAUAGUUGGGAGUGGGAGCCCUCCUCCUCCUCCCAGCUAAGCUCUGUGUCUGUAUGGAGAAUGAGCAGCCAUUUUAGCACUCAGCAGUGCUGCUGCAGCCUGCCUGACACUGUCACAGCAUUCUUCUGCUGGAGCUGUAGUAUGUUAGCAUGCGGUUUGGUUUUUUUCAACCCCCCUGAGGACACCUGCAAACAACCUGUUAAGAUGUGACUCCGAUGAUUUGAUUUUAAGGGCAGGGAGCGCUGAUGAAUGUUGCAUGUGUUGGUAGAUGGAUCUGUGAGGCUCACCUGUCACUGGUUAGAAACUUUAUUGGAUGGUAGCUCAUGAAUGUCUUAGCUCUUGGUGCCUUAUUUUAGCUUCUUGUUGCUACUCACAGUUAAAAUUCAUACCACAUAUAAAUAUUAGACUGUAGCUCUACUUAAGCACUUACUUGACAUGACCUGAAUCAGUAUCUCUAAAUCAGCAUCUUGUGUUCUAGUUUCACUUAUCUUCUUACAUUUUGUCCUUAAUUCUCCUCAUUUAUAAUGCUGCAUCUUGAUCUAUCUAAGAUCCAUGUCAACUUUAUAAGAAUGUAAAUUAAUGCAGAUCUGCAGUGCAGUGCUUGUCUUCUGAUUUUCUUCAUAAACGUCUUCAAAGCAACAAAGCUCAAGCUCUACUCAUCCCCUCUUUUCGAAAUCAGGUCCAGUAGCUUUUCAGUUUUCUAUCCCUCUGGAGGUGGGGUCAGUCAAAUAUCAGCAAUCAGUGAGGGAGAUCUAUCAUUGACAUUACUGUGGCUCUUGCAGGAUUGUGGCUGUGACGGAUCUUCAUCAAACCUGGUGCAGAGAUUUACUGUGAAACUUAAUGACUUUUGUGGUCCCUGGAUUUUUCCUUUUGCCUUAUCUAUAAGUCAUAGUUGUAUCCCUGAAGGAUUGGCACCAUGUCCUAGAAGUUUCAAUGGCAAUUUAGAUUUACUGUAACGGAGUAGUUUAAUGGUUGGUAAAGGCUCAGGAGAAAGUCAAAACUGAAAAUGAUAUUUUCAACAAAACCAUUUUAUUAGGAUUGAGUGCAGCUCUCCUUUAGGUUUUACCUGCUGACAUUGCACGUUGCACUGUGGUACGUCGUCUAGGCCAAGCCUCAGAUUUGUUGUCGCUGACAGCUGCUUUUUCAAAGUCGACAUUCAGCCCUACAUUCGUCUCUUAUCUUGCAAUCUAGGGUCUAGAACCCAAACACUUGCACAAGGCCUGUCUCAGAUGUUUUGGUGUUGUAACUGUCAAGAGUGUCAUUCAAUGGUCAGGUAACGACGAAAGUGCCGUGCUGCUGAAUCAAAGCCAGCUACUUCCCACAGACUGAUGUGUUGAUCAGCUGUAUGUUUUGAGUUCAAACACUCUUAACAGUUGUAACUGUUAAGAGUGUCAUUCAAUGGUCAGGUAACGACGAAAGUGCCAUGCUGCUGAAUCAUAGCCAGCUACAGACUGAUGUGUUGAUCACAUUCUCAAUGUUGCUUUCGAUGUAAAACAGGUUUCAUCCCGGCAGUGUCAUUGCUUUGAAAUAGCUAACACUCAAAGGCUAAAUCUGUGUCAGACUGAUAUUGGCUGACAUAUUACCCAGUCGUCCCCAACUAUUAUCGAAUUUGAACUCAUCCUGAUGUAAUUGUCUGACCUUAAACUCUGCUCAUACUGGCCUCUGUACACACUCCCUCUGUGUGUUGACCAAAGUAAAGACAAACACAUAUUUUGCAUAGCUGCAUGCAUGCUUGCUUUUAUAUCUAUAUGUUUUUAGA
This 6783-nucleotide long non-coding RNA is filed under the name Xyrichtys novacula (pearly razorfish). The record is from RNAcentral. Lineage: Eukaryota; Metazoa; Chordata; Actinopteri; Labriformes; Labridae.